UGCUGCCGGCGUUUCACGCUCUUCCCAUCCCUCACCUCGCCAGGUGUUUCUGAGAAAACUCGUAAUUUGCAAGCGUGAUUUGCUUCUAAGGUGCUAUUUCUUGCUCAGAUACAUAAUUUUUCCCUAUACGCAGCACUUGCCCUGUACUCCACCGGUGACGCCACACCUUAAGUACUGCGCCCAGUUCUGGGCUCCACAAAGGACACUUGAGGUGCUGGAGCAAGCCCAGAGAAAGAAAACAAAGCCGGUCUAGAACACUACUCCUGUGAGGAGCAGAGAUGGGAGAGAAUUCUGAUGCUGCAGGCCUCUCAGGAGUUAUUUGUGGAGAGCCCAAUUCUCAUUUUGUGUGUAGAAGAAAACCUAAGGGUAUCUGUGGGCUUGCCCUAUGCCACAGCUCUUCAGCUUGUGCACAACUUCGUCUAACAAUAGGAAAACAAAAGUAAAACCUUUGAGCAAAACAUGUUGCCACUCCUCCAACAUUCUCCUGUCCUGCAUCUAACUCAAGGUACCUUCUUCUGGUGUAGUACUGGCUACCAUCUCCAUACCUUGUACAGUAUAAAUCCACAACUUCUGGUGCCAUCUCUGAGUGCAGCAACAGCAAUACUACUUAACCAGUAGAUGAGGGAAGGAAAAAGGGCCUUUAAUGGAACUACAGAAGGUAGGAGGUGUAUGAGACAAAAUUCACACUCCCACCAAAGAGGUAGAGAAAAAGCAGCUGGAAGAGGCACUUACUUCUUCAGGUAUAUACUAUACUCGUCCAGUGUUUUUUUAAUUGAGCUUUCCGUUCUGAUAGUCCUGUCACUUUCUCUGCUUGUCCCUCUUACAUGAAAGGAGGAAUGACCCUGCAGAGUUCCAUUUCCUUCUUUGUCAAAAUAAUUCUGGUUUCGUUGCUCUGUUGCUGCCCCCUACCUCUUCAGAGUCUUGUUUGUCCCUCCCUUCCUUCCUUCUCUCCCUCUUUCUCUCCCUCCUUCCUUCCCUCCUCCUUGAGUUCCAGCACUUUAACCCUUCCCUAGCUGCACUGUCAUGGCAGCAUUCCUCCUCAUUAGUGGGUUAACUACUGUAACCUGUACCUCCCCUGCUACACAAAACGAGGUUAUCAGUAGCCAGCCUGAGAAUGUCCUGCUGUGUUCAAGAUAGAGAAGAGCCUGGAGUUUGAUUUUGUAGUAAAUGGCAGCAGUCACGGACAGCUGGUGCUUGCUGGGAACAGUCUGGUGAGGGAUGGACUGUAAGCUACAUGUCCCAAGGUGGAGACCCCAGAAUAGUGACCAUGCAGGACUGUAUUUUCUUCUGCAGGUUCCUGAUGAAUCUUUGUUCACAGCAUUUUGGCUCUUUGCUUCGGAUCACUUUGCACCCUCUCAGUGCUUCAGUCCUUUCCAUCCAUUUGGUGACUGUUGUCCAACCCUGCCUACCAAAGCCAUUCCAAGGUGAAUGUGGACAGCAGGUGUCAAUAGCAGAGUUUGCAACAUCCUUUGAAAGCAUUCUCUCCACUCAAAUAAUUGACAGCUUGUAUUGCAAUCACCAUUUAAUAUCAUAAAUAUUGGAAACAUUACCCUGUCAACAUAUGUAUGUUAAUAAUUGCAAUAGGAGGUUUAAGCAUACAUGUGGAGAAAGGUGAUGGAAGAACUCAAAAGUAAUAAGCACUUCUAAUUAAAACUGCCCUUAAAAUAUGACCAAGGACUUCUUUGUUGUUGAAAUAGGAAUCUAGAAGCACCUUUCAUUGUGAAAAAGAUAAAGGAAGUUUUAAUUUCAUUUGAAUGAUUACCUAGCUAAAUUGCAGCUGUUAGAAUUGAUAGUGGUAAUGGAGAAGGCAAAAAUGGUAUAGAUGUUGUGAUAAAAAGAGGGCCAAUCCUGCAGGUGUUAUUAGUAGUGCUAUUUACUGUCAUUAAAUUGAGUGGAAUGUGCAUGUUUUACACCACUAAUAUGUUUAUUCUAGCACAGAACAAAAUGUGGCUAUAUGAUGUUAAUUUUAGUUUAUUAGUUUGAUGUCUCUCUAGGCCACAAAAAAAAAAAAACUAGGAACACCUAAAGCUAUAGGAAUUAUUCCCAUCACUUUACUUUGUGUAUUUUUAUAUUCAAGAGAAAGGAUAGCAGCAAGCAAUUGGCAACAAGCUCUUACAAGAACACAUCAACAUGUCUUUGAUUUCCCUAUAAAGUUUACUAAACAGGAAUGUUGGAUGAGCUGAAGAAUGAAAAUGAACAUGAAAUGAAUUAAAAGAAAAAAGAAUGACAAUGAAAACUGUAUAUGGAAGGAAGCAUACCCACACCUGAUUAAAUACUGUGUUAAAAGUUUGUCCCUACAGCUUCUGUGAUUCCUCAUGUUCUUACCAGUGCAGUACAGAUAUUAUCACUUCUAGACAUACUCAGUCUAGUAAUAUUUGUGAAGCCCUGUGCUUCACUGGAUAAUUUUUGUUUUACCCAAAGUGAACACUCUUUUUGCUGAGUGUUAAUGAUGAAAAAAAUAAAUGUGAAGGAAACAAUAAAGAGGAUAUUUCUGAUUUGUGCUCUCCUUAGAGCAGGCAAUAGGAAUGAUCUACAUAGUGCAGUAGAAGUGAUGAGGGUUUUUUGGGCUCACCCAAAUUCUUCAAACAAGUUCCUGAUAUCUAGUGCAAACAAUUAUGUAAAACCUCUUAAGCAACAACCAAAACAUUAAAACAAAUGGCCUUUUUUCCAACAGGGAAUAAUGAGACUCUCAGAAAGUUGAUACUGGGGAAUCACACAGUUUUUAAAAAACUGCUUUAUCUUGUUCUUUGGUGGCAGAAGGUAACAUUUGCCAAAUCCAUUAACUUAUGCAAUUUAGAACACUGCUAUUAUUGUGAGAUACACAAUUUAUUUACAUUUAUUUACAUUUUUUACCGUUCAGUAAUGUCAUUGAGACAUAAUUUAUUUUAGUUGUCUUGUAGCUGAGCUUCAAGGCUUUGCCUGGGUAUCAUCUUACCCAUUGUACAUAUCCAAAUAUCAGCCCCUUGCUCAAAACUCAGUUUUAUGUGCAUUGAAGAGACAUGAAUACUCAGAAUGAUGGACAGAUUUGUAAAAAAUAAAUUUGUUUUACCUUAAGUGAUACAGCUCAGUUCAGCCUUGGAAAAUCAUAGUGCAUAUUGAACAUGACUGCUGGAGGAAGGCUACAUGCUGUAUUCACAAAGGGAUUUGAACGCUGAAAGAUUCCUCUUUCAGGUACCUCACUUCCUUUUUUUUCCCCCUGUAAUGUGUUGCUAGUUAUCUCAUAGAUCCAGCACAUGAACUUUAGCAGUUGUGUCCCCAGGUUUCUCGGAAGACUCUGUAGUUGCUUCCCCUGCAGCCCCUAAGGCUUGAAUUUGUAGUCAGGCUCAGAUUUCUGUAAUACCAUGGGUGAGAUCUGCCUCCAGUUGCUUCUGGAGUUGUGCAUAAUCUUGUUGCACACAGGAAAAAGCUGUAGUUCUCUUUUCUCCCUGUGAGAGCUGUUCCUAUUCCUGAGCUCUCAUAUAUAGAAAAUAUAUUCUACUCCUUAAUAUGCCUGCACUUCAAUUUACAGGUGUUGGAAUUAAACACACGUACUCUGGUUUUGGUUACAGCAUCUUCUACUUCAAAGUCAGCAUAUAUGCAUGUACAUUAUUACUUCCUGUGAUUGCCACAGCUGUAUAAGUGUAUGGGCAGCAGCAAUUCAUUUUUUUCAUGCCAAGGCCAGCUCUGCAAGUUCUACUGGGCUAAUUAAUCCCAUUGUGGGAGGAGAAGGUCAUGUAAAAAUAACAGCUAAAAUGGGGUAAGAAGGUGGAUAUAACUAUGUCGUUAUAAAGAUGACACAUCCAAAUUAUGGUUUUCCUUACUUUAUAGGAAUAGCUAUCCCUGUAAAAAGCACCUUUAAACAAAUACAGCUAUAGACUUGACAUGUCAGAAGUUGAGACAGCAGGGAAAUGGCAUUGCUUUAGCUCUAUCACAAGCUCUAUCACAAUAAUUAAAAUAGGACCUAUUUUAUUUGGGACAAGCCCCAAAUAACAUAUGGCAAUAAAAAAUUACUUCAUUUGGCAAAUGGUUUUCCACAAAGAAACUCAUCCUUUCAUGUGAAAUAAACUUUUUAAACCCCCCCA
Parus major (Great Tit) is the source of this 4061-nucleotide long non-coding RNA. RefSeq lists it as uncharacterized. Lineage: Eukaryota; Metazoa; Chordata; Aves; Passeriformes; Paridae. The record is from RefSeq and is a predicted model, not a curated record. The transcript is spliced from 2 exons.